UCCUGGCUAGGACGAACGCUGGCGGCGUGCCUAAUACAUGCAAGUCGAACGCUCCUACCGGUGCUUGCACCGGGAAAGAAGAGUGGCGGACGGGUGAGUAACACGUGGGUAACCUACCUACAAGCGGGGGAUAACAUUCGGAAACGGAUGCUAAUACCGCAUAGAUCUUUUUGUCUCCUGGCAGAAAGAAGAAAGACGGUUUCGGCUGUCACUUGUAGAUGGACCCGCGGCGCAUUAGUUAGUUGGUGAGGUAAUGGCUCACCAAGACGAUGAUGCGUAGCCGACCUGAGAGGGUGAUCGGCCACACUGGGACUGAGACACGGCCCAGACUCCUACGGGAGGCAGCAGUAGGGAAUCUUCCGCAAUGGACGAAAGUCUGACGGAGCAACGCCGCGUGAGUGAAGAAAGGGUUUUCGGAUCGUAAAACUCUGUUGUUAGAGAAGAACAAGGAUGAGAGUAACUGCUCGUCCCUUGACGGUAUCUAACCAGAAAGCCAUGGCUAACUACGUGCCAGCAGCCGC
This 521-nucleotide ribosomal RNA is filed under the name uncultured bacterium. RNAcentral describes it as "bacterial SSU rRNA". It matches the Rfam family "Bacterial small subunit ribosomal RNA", at positions 17 to 518 of the family's 1533-position model. The record is from RNAcentral.